This 491-nucleotide ribosomal RNA is filed under the name uncultured bacterium. RNAcentral's name for it is "bacterial SSU rRNA". It matches the Rfam family "Bacterial small subunit ribosomal RNA", at positions 10 to 507 of the family's 1533-position model. The record is from RNAcentral.
AGUUUGAUCAUGGCUCAGGACAACGCUGGCGGCGUGCUUAACACAUGCAAGUCGAGCGGAAAGGCUCCUUCGGGGGUACUCGAGCGGCGAACGGGUGAGUAACACGUGAGUAAUCUGCCCUUGGCUUUGGGAUAACUACCGGAAACGGUGGCUAAUACCGGAUACGACCACUCCUUGCACGAGGUGGUGGUGGAAAGUUUUUUCGGCCAGGGAUGUGCUCGCGGCCUAUCAGCUUGUUGGUGGGGUAAUGGCCUACCAAGGCUUCGACGGGUAGCCGGCCUGAGAGGGUGACCGGCCACACUGGGACUGAGACACGGCCCAGACUCCUACGGGAGGCAGCAGUGGGGAAUAUUGGACAAUGGGCGGAAGCCUGAUCCAGCAACGCCGCGUGAGGGAUGUCGGCCUUCGGGUUGUAAACCUCUUUCAGUACCGACGAAGCGCCGAUGAUGGUGGUGACGGUAGGUACAGAAGAAGCACCGGCCAACUACGUG